RNAcentral lists this ribosomal RNA (433 nucleotides) under uncultured bacterium. RNAcentral's name for it is "partial 16S ribosomal RNA". It matches the Rfam family "Bacterial small subunit ribosomal RNA", at positions 29 to 507 of the family's 1533-position model. The record is from RNAcentral.
AACGAACGCUGGCGGCAUGCCUAACACAUGCCAGUCGAACGAGACCUUCGGGUCUAGUGGCGCACGGGUGCGUAACGCGUGGGAAUCUGCCCUUGGGUUCGGAAUAACAGUUGGAAACGACUGCUAAUACCGGAUGAUGACGUAAGUCCAAAGAUUUAUCGCCCAGGGAUGAGCCCGCGUAGGAUUAGCUAGUUGGUGGGGUAAAGGCCUACCAAGGCGACGAUCCUUAGCUGGUCUGAGAGGAUGAUCAGCCACACUGGGACUGAGACACGGCCCAGACUCCUACGGGAGGCAGCAGUGGGGAAUAUUGGACAAUGGGCGAAAGCCUGAUCCAGCAAUGCCGCGUGAGUGAUGAAGGCCUUAGGGUUGUAAAACUCUUUUACCCGGGAUGAUAAUGACAGUACCGGGAGAAUAAGCCCCGGCUAACUCCGUG